AUUCAGUCUGACAGCGAUAAGACUACUUCUUUUACUGUCUGCUGUCUACGAUUGCUUUAUGAAUCAAAGUUCAGCCCCCAACGGCCAGCCCACACACACACACGGAAGUGACAGCAGGUAUGCAAAUACCACAACAAGGACACGGCAAACAAACAGAAAGCUGGAAAACCAAUAGGGAGCUCAGAGGGACCCUGUCCACUCAAAGCGGAGCUCUGUCCGGCAGCAUGUGUUCGGAAGCUGUUGUUCUGCAGGGAUUAGCAACAUUACUGAUGCAUGUUAGUUACGUCACUAUUCUGCAGGAUUACGGCAGUAUUGCUACUGAUGCUGUGCACAGCACAGGACCGGUAAUGUACGAUUCACCAGCAGCCUCGAGAGAGUACUGGCACCAUGCUUGACCCAGAAAAAGCACUCACACACAGAGCUUAAAAAUAGCCUGGUCACAAUAAUCCAAGCAUACGCAGUGACGCAACAGCAGCACAAGCCCAUGCACAGCGCUCAUCACAAAGCAGCCCCCAAUGUUCCUGCUCCUGUUUCGACAAAGCUGAAGACAGCGAUAGCUACAAGACACUUUGAGUGGGAUUGCCUUUUGUACCUCUUCCUGCUACCGUUUCGCGAUCCUGUGUGGCCGGCAUACACCCUGAGGUGCACAAUGUUACAUCACAAAAAGUGUGAUGAGCCAUCGAAGGUAUUUAAAAUAAAAUAAAAAAAAUAAAAAAAUGCAAUUUUUAGCAGGCAGGAGUGUUAUUGUUCCGAGUGAUUCAUUUUUUCCUUCCUUUUCAAAAGGUGAAUUACACACUAAAAAUCACCGUCAAUACAGAAACGUUCCAGGUAACACGAUGAAUAAUACAACAGGAGCCAUAAGGGUGAUGCCUUUAAUCAUGGCUACAUCUGUCUGACUACAAAAGUCAUUCUCAACAAACAAGUGUGGAGAGCAGCGCACAUCUGGUCACGUCUAACCACUGAUAAGUGACAAACAGAUGAAACCUGCUUACUCCACAGAACACAGACCAGCAUAUCCUUCAGGUCAAUUGCUUUGACAUAAACAUGACAUGUGCCUUUCAUUCUUGGCUUUCCUUGCCACUCCACACUGUCCUUCACUCUCAUAAUGGAAAGUGGCAUGACUUAAUCUGUCCAAAGACAUGAUAUAUGCACAGUAAACAGACAGAUCCCCAGGACAGAGAGCAGCAGCUGGGUCUUGCUGUCAAACACGGAGCACAACACCGAGAGGGCAGUGGUGACUCACUGGAGGCUUUUCCCAAAGGCUGCAAUGGUGGCGCUCCUUUAAAUUUAGCAGUGUUUUAUAGAGCAUCGUGCUGAGGCUGCGCACCAGAGAAGGCGGUAAAUUCCAGGGAUCGGUGGCUCACGUGACUGUUAAAAUACAAGUGGAACAUAUUAGCCUCCCGGCUUGCCUGAAAUACAGCAGAUCGGUUUCACACUGUUGCUCUCGUAUCACAGAGGCAACUUCGGUUAUGGCAACUGCCUCAGCUUGUGACAAGAAUCCUUGAUCGAGUUGAUGGGCUUACCGACCAAUCCAGUUAAAAUGUCAAGAGGCUUAAGACAAAUGUAUUCAUGCUGGGCGGUACACGCACACAAAUGAGGGAGUUUACCAUCCAUCUACGAGCCUAAAGAAGCCUUUGGGCUUAUUUCGAACUCUCACUUCAGUCUCAAACAUACUGAGAUUAUAAGGUGAAGGGUCUAAUGAGGGCAAAGAAGGAAGAGUAUUUAUCAGAUAAACAGUAUUUUUGUGACAAUAUAACGUUAAUUUACAUCCAACAAAACCCACCCCUUUUAGGGACCAAUAAAGAAAUUUAAUGAAACUCUUUAUCCUACCUUAUUAUUGUUUAAGGCUUUUAAAAAAAAAAAAAAAUACUCCAUGAGGCAGAUGCUAGAGUAUUUCUUUACCAAGACUGGGACUGGACAAAGGCCGUGUUUAACCUUGCUUGAUUUUAAUACAGCACUGGAGGAGUGAGCAAACAUUGAGCCUCUCUCUUUAUUGAAAAAGAUUUUUUUUUUUUUUUUUUUUUUUAAAUAUGUGACACCACACAAUGCACAGCUCAACACAAAGGCAGAGCAAGAGCAUUAUGAUGGUUCUUCAGUUAGCAUCAGACUUGUUUUAAACUGAGGCUGACUUAAGAUGAGAAAAUCUGUUUUAUAUGGAAAAAAAACAAAACAAUGUGUGAGUAAUCACCUUUGUAAGCCGUGUUAUAAGCUGACAAAACAGUACAAUCUUGUAAAAAUACAGGGGCUAAAUAAUGGCAUGUCAUGUUGUUCUUAUACAGUAAAUACAACGAGCGCCGUAUGCAUUCUGUAACAUAUCCAUCACUCUUUCCCGUCCCUCAGGUCCAUAAUCUUCCACAAACUAUGGAGGUGGGAACCUGCCCUUGUUCUUUACUCAUCACAGCACAAGGGGAAAGCUAAAAAUACUUGACACCCUGUGAGCAUCUCCUGCAUUGUGUUCCUCCUCCUUCUCCUCGUCCUCUACCUCCUACAGUAGCCCUGCAAGUAUGAUCUGCUUCUAAAAAUGAGCCUGCACAGGGAGGGAAUGAACGAGAGCAAAAAGAAAUCGAGCUCAGGCACAGCCGAACAUAGUGUCGUGAAGCUGAAGUUUGAUUACCAUGGAGAAAGGGAUUUGUUAACCAGAGCAAACAAAUGAAUAAUUUUCUAUUAACUGAGUUUUAGUUUUAGUGCGUACACCCGCUUGGAAGAUAUCUAAAAAAAAAACAAAACAAACAAACAACAAAACAAAACAAAACCAAAAAACAAAACAUCAGUUUAAAGAGUGUCAUAACUGCUCAUUUGAUGUGAAAAGCUCUCCUUGUGUAACAUACAGAAGAAUUAGAUAUUAGAAGAAAGCCACACCUGUUGCAAAGAUAUCUGCCAUUAUUGCAAGAUCUCGAGGUGAACAUGAUUUUAAUCUAAAGCAGAUCAUCUAAUUUAACAGAGGGCAGGAACCACUGGAAUAUAAGUUUUACAUUUGACACCCCCCCCCCCCCCCAGCAUGUAAUUAAAAUUCAAAAAUAAAUAAAUCGGGUGCUUGGUGACCGCUGAGAACUUUAAGCCCCUUUAAUAAUUGGAGCCAUUGUUUUCUUAUGCCUCAGUGGUGCUCGUCAACGCCGCAGUGGUCCAAAAUGGGCCCGUUACAUACCAACACCAUCUCUAACCAACCCCACGCUUCACUCAGAAAUCCAAAAUUAGAUGACCUUAUAUGAAAAUUGCACUUGGAUUAAUCAGUUACGUGCCAAGGUUAAACGAGGAUCUCCCCUUGCUGUCAUUCUCUGAAAGUGCUCAGCGAGCCUAAAUGAGCUGCGUAGAGAGAGUGUGUUAUAUAACUCCAGCAGAUACAGAAAAGGAAAGCGUCGCUACGCUCACAUUUUGCCCAUUCCAUUAACUAAUUCAUGUAGCCCAGCAGACCAAAAGGAAAGGAAAUGCUUUGGUGCAUUUAGACAAUCUCUCCAAAACAUUCUCAUCAGUCACUCUUCGAGUGUUUGGCAGCAACAAGACGCUGAUUCAAAUUAAGGUCUUCUUGCUAAUGUGGAGACUAUUGCAGAGUGCAUGCUUACCAGUGCCACAAAGGCUUGGACGGAUAACAACAAAUGAAUUUCCAUUAUCACUGCCACUCUCUGUCUCUCACAACAGUGAAAAGCAGCUUUGGUUAUGUAGCAUACGACAGCGCUGUGGCUGAGAUUCAUUACUGCGCUAACACCUACACUAUAACUCUAUAAAAGAAUGUGGGCACAUGCAAGUGUAUCGCAACCUGCAGAGAGGAAAGUGAGCGCUUGAUAUGAAGCAUUUAAAAAGGUGCUGAAACAUCUGCAAACUGCAGAAGCAGCAGGGCUACGAGUAAAAUAUUUAUCAGCUGUGACAGACAACAAAGGUCGUGGUCACUGCAAAAGUAUAGAAGCAUAUAAAGCUUAAAGGCAAGUGUAAACAGAAAUCAUUGUGCCUUGCCUGGGGUCUAUUUUUAGUCUCUCAUAUUUAAAAAGAAAAAAAACAACAAAAAAAAAAACA
Oreochromis niloticus (Nile tilapia) is the source of this 4008-nucleotide long non-coding RNA. RefSeq lists it as uncharacterized. The transcript has 3 exons. Lineage: Eukaryota; Metazoa; Chordata; Actinopteri; Cichliformes; Cichlidae. The record is from RefSeq and is a predicted model, not a curated record.